UAGAGUUUGAUCAUGGCUCAGAUUGAACGCUGGCGGCAGGCCUAACACAUGCAAGUCGAGCGGUAACAGAGAUUAGCUUGCUAAUCUGCUGACGAGCGGCGGACGGGUGAGUAAUGCAUAGGAAGUUGCCCAGUAGAGGGGGAUACCAGUUGGAAACGACUGUUAAUACCGCAUAAUCUCUUUGGAGCAAAGCAGGGGACCUUCGGGCCUUGCGCUACUGGAUACGCCUAUGUGGGAUUAGCUAGUUGGUGAGGUAAUGGCUCACCAAGGCGACGAUCCCUAGCUGGUCUGAGAGGAUGAUCAGCCACACUGGGACUGAGACACGGCCCAGACUCCUACGGGAGGCAGCAGUGGGGAAUAUUGCACAAUGGGCGAAAGCCUGAUGCAGCCAUGCCGCGUGUAUGAAGAAGGCCUUCGGGUUGUAAAGUACUUUCAGUUGUGAGGAAGGUUGUGUAGUUAAUAGCUGCAUAAUUUGACGUUAGCAACAGAAGAAGCACCGGCUAACUCCGUGCCAGCAGCCGCGGUAAUACGGAGGGUGCGAGCGUUAAUCGGAAUUACUGGGCGUAAAGCGCAUGCAGGUGGUUUGUUAAGUCAGAUGUGAAAGCCCGGGGCUCAACCUCGGAAGGUCAUUUGAAACUGGCAAACUAGAGUCCUGUAGAGGGGGGUAGAAUUUCA
This 675-nucleotide ribosomal RNA is filed under the name uncultured Vibrionaceae bacterium. RNAcentral describes it as "bacterial SSU rRNA". It matches the Rfam family "Bacterial small subunit ribosomal RNA", at positions 1 to 671 of the family's 1533-position model. Lineage: Bacteria; Pseudomonadati; Pseudomonadota; Gammaproteobacteria; Vibrionales; Vibrionaceae. The record is from RNAcentral.